This is a long non-coding RNA of Cornus florida, 808 nucleotides long. RefSeq lists it as uncharacterized. The record is from RefSeq and is a predicted model, not a curated record. NCBI's taxonomy places the organism in Eukaryota, Viridiplantae, Streptophyta, Magnoliopsida, Cornales, Cornaceae. The transcript is spliced from 3 exons.
CCGACAUUACAAACCCUAGGUUUCUCUUCAGCCUCCCCAAUCGCCUCCAUCUCUAUUCUCGUUCUCAACUUUGAAGUUGCCCUCUCUCUGUCCCUGUAACUGCAAACUACAAAAUCUACAAGAAUCUGUCUGCACAUUUCAGCCUCCCCUAUCGCCUCCAUCUCUAUUCUUGUUCUCAACUCUGAACUUGCCCUCUCUCUCUCUCCAACUGCAAGCCACAAAUCUACAAGAAUCAGAAGUUCAAAACCCAUAUAUUUCAGUUUAUCUAUCUGUAUGCAAGAAUCAAAAGUUCAAAACCCAUAUCGGCAUAUCAUUUCAAGAUUGUUCAAAAAAUCAAAACCCAUAUCUUUCCUUUUCCAUCGCCCGCUGUUCCAGAUCGGGUUCGCCGUUUGCAAGCUUCAGCCGCUGGCCCGCUGUCUCUCAACUCUCAAGCCCCCCCUGCUAACUUGAUAUUCCGGGAUGUUCCUAGCGAUAUUACAAUAGAGGUGAAUGGUGGAUCAUUUGCAUUGCAUAAGAUUGUUGGACGAGCUCAUGCUAUAAGAAUUCAAGCUCUUUUUGUUUAUAUUUAGAUCUUUGAAUUCUUUGUUUCGGAUUCUAUACCACAUUUUGUCUAAGAUCUCAGAUGAGAAUGCUAGCUUUUUUUUGUGCGAUGGGCUUUAUUGUAUAUGUUGUAAACAAUACUUUUUGGUUGGUGUGGUAUAUAAUAUCAAGUAUUUCUUUAUUUGCAUAAUCAUUUUGAUGUGUGAUUAAAUUUUAUUUUUGAUAUUGUUUAUAAAGUUAAUAAUUUAUAGGUUAUAAAAUUAUAAUU